UAUUGGAUGUGCGAGAGAGGGAGAGAAAACGCGUCAGGUGGGGACAAGAGAGAAAAAAGCAGUUCAAUCCCACGCAACUUCCUCUCUCUCGCAUCUCCUUAUCUCCGCCCGGCCGACAGCUAGGGUUCCGCCGGCGCCGCCAAAGCCACCUCCACCAUACCUUCUCCUCCAGCCUAUCCCCACCGUCGCCCCAGGCUAGAAGGCGGGUACCGCCGUCACGAGCAUGACCCCCUCCUUGCUGGCGGGCUCAGCAACGACUUCGUCUCCAUCUGGAACCCAUCGCCGCCGCGGCUGCCGCGGCUACCAUCCGACCCGAGAGGAGCAGCUCGCAGUAGGUCUUCCUCGUCUCCAUCUCCAAGCCCCACGCGAGCGCCGGCAGUGGCACGGAGCUGGCGAAGAAGGUGACUGUGGUUGGAUCUGUCGCACGAGAGGCGGCGGCGCGAUGUGGCCUUGCAAUACUCUUAGGCAUUGGUGAAAUCCGUUCUGCAAUCUAGGAACGAGGCCAACUUCAGGAGCUGAUUGAAGCUGCACUAAAAUUAGCUACAAAGUAACAUCAAAACAAUUUGUGGGCAACCUCCUACAGGAAGAAAAUUACAGUUUGGAUGAGGAUUUGUAGUCCAUAGGAUGGUCAGGUCCUGAUAGGUUCAAAAGAUCAGGUCAUACCAUCAUGACUAUAUUCGAUUUGGAUCCUUAGGUACAUCAAAUGUGUCUAUCCAAGAGGAGCACAAUUUUAGAGGAGUAUUUCUUUAUGGUUCUGAUUCCCCACCCCCAUGUUAAUAUCUCUGUAUGAUUACCACGUUACAAGUCUUCUUUUAUAUCCAAAAGGGGGACUAGCAAUCUACAUCAAGCUUAUUGGAUUGGUUGUUCAUGCCUACAUCAAUGUACUGUUCAACAUCAAGCUUAUCGGAUCAACUGUUCAUGCCUAAAUCAACCAAACAAGUAUGGAGUUAUCUUAUGUUAUUUCAAGUGUUUCGAAGAAAAUGAGUAUCAAAUGGAGUCCAAACAGAAUGAAACCUUCAGGAGCGAUCUUUUUGGAACAAAUGCAAUCCAGGAGACUUGGAGUGGACGUCAAGAAGCAGCC
This is a long non-coding RNA of Triticum aestivum (bread wheat), 1081 nucleotides long. RefSeq lists it as uncharacterized. Lineage: Eukaryota; Viridiplantae; Streptophyta; Magnoliopsida; Poales; Poaceae. The transcript is spliced from 4 exons. The record is from RefSeq and is a predicted model, not a curated record.